Molecule: non-coding RNA, 103 nt
Organism: Mycena metata
Lineage: Eukaryota; Fungi; Basidiomycota; Agaricomycetes; Agaricales; Mycenaceae
Source: the annotation of a GenBank genome assembly
GUCUAGGUAGUAUAGUGGUUAGUAUGCUCGCUUGUGGCUGUGCUACGUACAGACUACGUAACUGCUUUCGCGAUUGACGUCAGUUCGAUUCUGGCCCUGGACA